UACGUAGGGGGCAAGCGUUGUCCGGAAUCAUUGGGCGUAAAGAGCGUGUAGGCGGUCCGGUAAGUCGGUUGUGAAAGCCCAGGGCUCAACCCUGGGAUGCCGACCGAUACUGUCGGGCUAGAGUCCGGAAGAGGCGAGUGGAAUUCCCGGUGUAGCGGUGAAAUGCGCAGAUAUCGGGAGGAACACCAAUGGCGAAGGCAGCUCGCUGGGACGGUACUGACGCUGAGACGCGAAAGCGUGGGGAGCAAACAGG
RNAcentral lists this ribosomal RNA (253 nucleotides) under uncultured bacterium. Its description in RNAcentral is "partial 16S ribosomal RNA". It matches the Rfam family "Bacterial small subunit ribosomal RNA", at positions 524 to 776 of the family's 1533-position model. The record is from RNAcentral.